CCUACGGGAGGCAGCAGUGGGGAAUUUUGGACAAUGGGGGAAACCCUGAUCCAGCCAUCCCGCGUGUGCGAUGAAGGCCUUCGGGUUGUAAAGCACUUUUGGCAGGAAAGAAACGUCGUGGGUUAAUACCCCGCGAAACUGACGGUACCUGCAGAAUAAGCACCGGCUAACUACGUGCCAGCAGCCGCGGUAAUACGUAGGGUGCAAGCGUUAAUCGGAAUUACUGGGCGUAAAGCGUGCGCAGGCGGUUCGGAAAGAAAGAUGUGAAAUCCCAGAGCUUAACUUUGGAACUGCAUUUUUAACUACCGAGCUAGAGUGUGUCAGAGGGAGGUGGAAUUCCGCGUGUAGCAGUGAAAUGCGUAGAUAUGCGGAGGAACACCGAUGGCGAAGGCAGCCUCCUGGGAUAACACUGACGCUCAUGCACGAAAGCGUGGGGAGCA
Molecule: ribosomal RNA, 440 nt
Filed under: uncultured bacterium
Lineage: Bacteria
Description: bacterial SSU rRNA
Rfam family: Bacterial small subunit ribosomal RNA
Source: RNAcentral